RNAcentral lists this long non-coding RNA (841 nucleotides) under Cucumis sativus (cucumber). Its description in RNAcentral is "long non-coding RNA (CSAT_LNC002403)". The record is from RNAcentral. Lineage: Eukaryota; Viridiplantae; Streptophyta; Magnoliopsida; Cucurbitales; Cucurbitaceae.
GAAGGUGGGUGGGAGUCACGAUCGCACGGGGAAGAAGAAGGGAGAAAAGAAAAGAAAAAGAAAAAGAAGAAAAGAAAAAUAAUAAAGAAAUUUUUAAUAUUAAAGUAAAAAUAAAAUAUAUAUAUAUAUAUAUAUAUAUAUAUAUAUAUAUAUAUAUAUAUAUAUAUAUAUAUAUAUAUAUAUAUAUACUUUCUUUGGGCAUUACAUUCUUCCCUCCUUAAGAAACUUUCGUCCUCGAAAGUUCUAAUCCUGAAAUAACUCUGGAUAACGAGUCCUCAUUUCUUCCUCUCGCUCCCAUGUCGCCUCUUCAAUUCGAUGAUUCCGCCACAAAACCUUUACUAAUGGAAUGCUUCUAUUACGAAGCAUCUUUACCUCUCUAGCCAGAAUCUCCACAGGUUGUUCUACAUAGCUCAAAUGCUCAUCAAUCUCCAAGGGUUCAUAGUCCACUACAUGAGAUGUAUCGGCCACAUACUUCCUCAACAUCGAAACAUGGAAAACAUUAUGAACUGCAGAGAGAGAUGGUGGUAAUGCCAAGCGAUACGCCACAACACCAACCCUCUCUAAGAUCUCAAAUGGUCCAACAAAACGAGGACUUAACUUUCCUUUCUUCUCAAAACGCAUAACACCCUUCAUAGGUGCUACCUUCAAGAAUACCUUUUCUCCCACAUCGAACUUAAGGUCUUUUCGCCGUACAUCUGCAUAACUCUUCUGUCUACUCUGCGCUGUUUGCAUACGUGCUCUAAUCUUUUGAAUAGCCUCAUUAGUAGACCGAACUAAUUCAGGUCCCAUCAAUCUAUGUUCACCAACCUCACUCCAACAAACAGGGGUUCUACAACAUUUG